AACGAACGCUGGCGGCGCGCCUAAUACAUGCAAGUCGAGCGAGAAGACGUAGCAAUACGUUUGUAAAGCGGCGAACGGGUGAGGAAUACAUGGGUAACCUACCCUCGAGUGGGGAAUAACUAGCCGAGAGGUUAGCUAAUACCGCGUACGCUCCUUGGACUUCGGUUCAGGGAGGAAAGCGAUACCGUGGGUAUCGCGCUCUUGGAUGGGCUCAUGUCCUAUCAGCUUGUGGUGAGGUAACGGCUCACCAAGGCUUCGACGGGUAGCUGGUCUGAGAGGACGAUCAGCCACACUGGCACUGCGACACGGGCCAGACUCCUACGGGAGGCAGCAGUAAGGAAUAUUGCGCAAUGGGCGAAAGCCUGACGCAGCGACGCCGCGGUGGGGGA
RNAcentral lists this ribosomal RNA (389 nucleotides) under uncultured bacterium. RNAcentral's name for it is "bacterial SSU rRNA". It matches the Rfam family "Bacterial small subunit ribosomal RNA", at positions 29 to 408 of the family's 1533-position model. The record is from RNAcentral.